GGCCUGGUGGUCUAGUAGUAUGAUUCCUUCUUAGGGCUCUUCAAUUCGCUUGCAGGUCUUUGGAGGAGGUCCCGGGUUCAAUUCCCGGCCAGGCCC
Molecule: non-coding RNA, 96 nt
Organism: Dentipellis sp. KUC8613
Lineage: Eukaryota; Fungi; Basidiomycota; Agaricomycetes; Russulales; Hericiaceae
Source: the annotation of a GenBank genome assembly